Long non-coding RNA from Haliotis rubra (blacklip abalone), 237 nucleotides. RefSeq lists it as uncharacterized. The record is from RefSeq and is a predicted model, not a curated record. NCBI's taxonomy places the organism in Eukaryota, Metazoa, Mollusca, Gastropoda, Lepetellida, Haliotidae. The transcript is spliced from 3 exons.
AGAGUCCAGUGUUUUUUUCUGUCGGGCAAGCAAAUUUGUAUAUCACACUGUACCGGUGUCCAGCUGACUUUCCAAUGUUAAUUAUGUUGUUUAUGCAAAAAAUCAACAAGAAAACAGACGCUAUAGUGAAAAAAUUAUCAGGACAAGUGAUUUUACAUGUGCCACUGUUCCGGAGUACACUAGCAAUUUUAAAGUUAUUUCCCUAUGAAAAGUAAAUCAAGUUGUGGGUAAAGCGUU